This is a transfer RNA of Camelus ferus (Wild Bactrian camel), 73 nucleotides long. It matches the Rfam family "tRNA". Rfam says of the family: Transfer RNA (tRNA) molecules are approximately 80 nucleotides in length. Their secondary structure includes four short double-helical elements and three loops (D, anti-codon, and T loops). NCBI's taxonomy places the organism in Eukaryota, Metazoa, Chordata, Mammalia, Artiodactyla, Camelidae. The record is from Rfam.
GAGGGUACAGCUCAACUGGUAGAGCGCAUGCCUAGCAUGCAGAAGGUCCUGGGUUCAAUCCCCAGUACCUGCU